Molecule: long non-coding RNA, 1829 nt
Organism: Vulpes vulpes (red fox)
Lineage: Eukaryota; Metazoa; Chordata; Mammalia; Carnivora; Canidae
Source: Ensembl
CUCAUGGGCCUAUUGUGAGGUAAUACAUGUGGAACUCAGUACAAUGCCUACAACAGUCUAAGCCAUCAUCAAAAGACACCAUGAAAGUGUUCAAAGCAAUGGGAUGAAAAGGUAUCUGUUCACUUCAGGUAGGAACCCAAGCCACCUGAAGCUGCUCCGGGAGGGCCCAUUGUCUUUCUUCCUACAGAUACCCAAAAGACAUGAACUUCCUCAAAACCCUACUUAACGCUUCACUCAGGAUUGCCCAUAAUCUACCCUGCCCACCUGUGGCCCCCAAACAGGGACUAUAAUCUUGACGGGGUCCAUCUGGCUGAGGUCCUCCUCUUUACCGAUACCUGGAGGGAUUCUUCACUGAGGACCAGAAGUUAGAGACAACAGAACUACUUGUUGGCUAAGAAAUAAACUCACACCGUGGGAUGAGCUAUGNUGAAUGGUGUAUCAAUAUUGCACACCCCUGGACACACACACACACCAAUGAUAAGGAAUGAGUUUUCAUGAGGAUAAAUCAUCAGAUACAUCGGAUAAAUUCAUGCAGGCUGCUUACAACGGUGUCCGGCGCAAAGCAAGUUCCAGGAGGCCUUGGGGACUCUGUGGCGGCUCACAACCAAGGGGCCUGAGGACAAUUCCCCACUGCGCCUUGUGCCAAGUCUUGUUUCACCUUCCUCCACGCUGGAAUCAUCUCUCUGAAGUGAAACCAGGUAUUUAUUGCUUGCCACCCUGUCCCCUCCUCCCCCUUGGAGCCCUGGUGCGCGCUACCCAGGCCAGUGACAUCACCAGGAGAGGCAGAUGUGCUUGUUCGGGCAAGGGGAUGACGCCAAGGGAGGGGUGAAAGGUGCCUCCAGGUCCCUGUUUCCCCUGCCAGGUCAUUCUGGCACAUGGCAUCACAGGGGACGGCGGGGGGUGGGUGGGGAGGAGAAGUAGGUCUGAGUAGAUAAGGAUGGAGCUGUGUGGGGGGACUCAGACCCAGUGCAGGGGCAGGCAUGGAUCUCAGGAAAGCAAGGAGAGAAACGAGCAGUUUUAUUUAAGAGAGAUCUCUCUCUGGGAUCUCUGGGUGGCUCAGCGGUUGAGUAUCUGCCUUUGGCCCAGGGCCUAAUCCUGGAGACCUGGAAUCGAAUCCCAUAUCGGGCUCCCUGCAUGGAGCCUGCUUCUCCCUCUGCCUGUGUCUCUGUCUCCCUCUCUCUCUCUCUGUGUCUCUCUCCUCUNCACGACAGGAAAUAAGGAGAGCCAGUACAUGGCUGUCACAGGAGGGACAGAGCGCUGAGUCUAGUUGGUGACAGUGGGGAAGGAGCAGAAGGACCGGUGAGCCCAACUGUAAAGGAAGAAUUGGCCAGACUUGGUGACCACUUAGGUGCCAGCGGCAGGGAGGGGUAGAGAAUCCUGGGUGGCCUGUGGUCUCUAGAAUAACGGAUGGGAAAGUGUUUGACUGACUGUGACAAGCUCUAUGCUGCCAAAGGGGUCAUUUUGCACAGGAAGACCUCACAAAGAAAAGGGGAAAAUUGUAGUGUUGGUUGCUUCCUUCGAACAUAGAUUGCACCCCAUAGCAGGAGCUGGCAGGUCCAGACUGCGGGCAGAUGGGGGUCUGGUUUUGAGGUACUCCCAUUCAAGCUGGGGAGGUAGGCCCUUUGGCUGAGGGGGCCCCGUACUUCCUGCCUUGACCAGGCUUGGUCGCAAACCAGGGAGGACCUGAGCUUCCCCCAGGGAAGAGACCUCCAGGCCAGCCUGAGUUGCCACCUCCUCUCAGUCUUCGACCCUUCCCCAGAGGCACUGGGGUGACCUGUAGCUUCAGAUUACAGUUACUGGCUUAUCAAGGCAUUUGUCAGCUGGUUGCU